CUUAUCCCCUCCCUCCCACAACAAUCGAAUAGAUCAGCAUAGCGGCAGGAUACGGAGUUUAUUAUGGAGUCAGGGAGCCCAUCCGUUAAGCUGUUAUACUAAUGUGUGCGUGGGGCAACGAUGGCCUCUUGGCGAGAGAAGUAGAGGGACAGGAGAAGAGGACGGACGUCCCAAAGGGAGGCUUUUUCUGCCCAUCAAGUGAAAGUAUCCACCGUCUGCCUGUCAUUUUGUUCUAAUUCUCCAUAGAGCACCUGCCAUUACCUGCUAUUUUUCAUAUUUAUUUACUUCUUUGCAUAUUGACUUUCUCUCUCCUCUAGAAUGUAAGCGCCAGAAGAUAAGGAACCUUGUCUGUCCUGUUUCCCAUGAUACACCUAGCGCCCGGAAGAACGCAUGGAAUAAAGCAACACUCAGUAUAGUUUGUGGGAUGAAUAAAUUGUUACCGGAAACGAGAAGCAGCCAGAUAGGUCAAAAUAAUUUCAAGAUUGAAAGCUUGACCAAGAUAAUCAGGUCAUCAUCCCCGAGUCAUGCAGAGGCUCAGUACCGCCACCCAAGCCAAAGACGGAAGGAGAAGAGGAGGAGGAGGAGGCAGAGGAGGAAGAAAUAGUAGCCUUAGGUAAAAUACCUAAACAGUGAAAAAAUUGCGUACAUAUCUUCACCUACAUAGACGCGACAAAAUAGAUCUUUUUAAAAGUACCUUUUUCAAGAGGUAAAGAAGUAAAUAAAAUCUCGAAUCGUUCUGCCCCAGGAUUCUCGUUCCUGGUAGCUCCGUCACCUCCCACUCCAUUUCAGAUGCGAUGUUCCCGCCCACUCUGAAGAAUCUGCGUACUUGACUCAUUUCUGAAGUUUCUUUUCAGUUUCAGAUCUCCCAAAACUAUAAGUCAGCUGUCAGCCUGUGGAAAUUAAUUUUUCGACACCUGUGAAACCUUGCCAGUGAUCUCCUAAGGUCUUAGCUAUCCUAUAGCUGGUGUCUUCCGUGCCUGAUCGCCUGUGAAUACAGCAGCCACUUGGACCCUCCAGUAGCUGAACUGUUCUUUUCAGUGUUACCAGGAACAUUCUGGACCUUAUCACCUCCCUCGUUUCUGGCCUGAUAUUUGAAAGCCAUAGUGGAAGUUACCAAGGGCCACAUGUAAGGUGCUUCCCUAAAAAUUCAAGUCACUGUGAGCCAAUGACGUGAAAACAGUCACAAUGUUUCACAGUUACAC
RNAcentral lists this long non-coding RNA (1202 nucleotides) under Equus caballus (horse). Its description in RNAcentral is "lncRNA (ENSECAG00000052210.1)". Lineage: Eukaryota; Metazoa; Chordata; Mammalia; Perissodactyla; Equidae. The record is from RNAcentral.